GGCGGCGUGCUUAACACAUGCAAGUCGAACGAUGAACCACUUCGGUGGGGAUUAGUGGCGAACGGGUGAGUAACACGUGGGCAAUCUGCCCUUCACUCUGGGACAAGCCCUGGAAACGGGGUCUAAUACCGGAUAUCACUCCCGCAGGCAUCUGCGGGUGUCGAAAGCUCCGGCGGUGAAGGAUGAGCCCGCGGCCUAUCAGCUUGUUGGUGAGGUAAUGGCUCACCAAGGCGACGACGGGUAGCCGGCCUGAGAGGGCGACCGGCCACACUGGGACUGAGACACGGCCCAGACUCCUACGGGAGGCAGCAGUGGGGAAUAUUGCACAAUGGGCGAAAGCCUGAUGCAGCGACGCCGCGUGAGGGAUGACGGCCUUCGGGUUGUAAACCUCUUUCAGCAGGGAAGAAGCGAAAGUGACGGUACCUGCAGAAGAAGCGCCGGCUAACUACGUGCCAGCAGCCGCGGUAAUACGUAGGGCGCAAGCGUUGUCCGGAAUUAUUGGGCGUAAAGAGCUCGUAGGCGGCUUGUCACGUCGGGUGUGAAAGCCCGGGGCUUAACCCCGGGUCUGCAUUCGAUACGGGCUAGCUAGAGUGUGGUAGGGGAGAUCGGAAUUCCUGGUGUAGCGGUGAAAUGCGCAGAUAUCAGGAGGAACACCGGUGGCGAAGGCGGAUCUCUGGGCCAUUACUGACGCUGAGGAGCGAAAGCGUGGGGAGCGAACAGGAUUAGAUACCCUGGUAGUCCACGCCGUAAACGGUGGGCACUAGGUGUUGGCGACAUUCCACGUCGUCGGUGCCGCAGCUAACGCAUUAAGUGCCCCGCCUGGGGAGUACGGCCGC
Molecule: ribosomal RNA, 836 nt
Filed under: Streptomyces sp. IM-6815
Lineage: Bacteria; Bacillati; Actinomycetota; Actinomycetes; Kitasatosporales; Streptomycetaceae
Description: bacterial SSU rRNA
Rfam family: Bacterial small subunit ribosomal RNA
Source: RNAcentral